CCGUAUUUCUCUGAGAUGCACCUUACACGCUGUGUUCAGCUUCUUUUCAGUGUCCUUGGAAAUCACAGUUGCUUUAUAAUCUCUGGCUUUGACAGAAGUCCUCUUUUUCUUCAUAUUAAAGUCAUCCUCUGGACACAGUGGAAUGCUAAAUUUUGUGGUGGUUUUUCUUUGGAUGGAUAUUGGGUGGAAAAAAAAAAAAAGAAAGAAGAAGAAGAAGGAGAAACUUGCUUGGCAUUUUCCAUUGGUGCCUUCUCAGGAAGGGGAGCCAAAGCUGCAUUGCUCAGAUUCCAAACCGACUCCCAGUGUUCUUGGAUGGUACUAAAUGCUUCAGGGAACGCAUGAUAAGCCCACAAAAUCAGACGGCCACCGCAGCAGAACUACAUUUCCGUGAAAAAGUCAUACUAAAACCCAGGAAUGGAUCUGGAAGAGACCA
Molecule: long non-coding RNA, 433 nt
Organism: Mus caroli (Ryukyu mouse)
Lineage: Eukaryota; Metazoa; Chordata; Mammalia; Rodentia; Muridae
Source: RefSeq, a predicted model, not a curated record